Molecule: ribosomal RNA, 448 nt
Filed under: uncultured bacterium
Lineage: Bacteria
Description: bacterial SSU rRNA
Rfam family: Bacterial small subunit ribosomal RNA
Source: RNAcentral
UGGGGAAUAUUGGACAAUGGGCGCAAGCCUGAUCCAGCCAUGCCGCGUGAGUGACGAAGGCCUUAGGGUUGUAAAGCUCUUUUUGGCGGGGAAGAUAAUGACGGUACCCGCAGAAUAAGCUCCGGCUAACUUCGUGCCAGCAGCCGCGGUAAUACGAAGGGAGCUAGCGUUGUUCGGAAUCACUGGGCGUAAAGCGCACGUAGGUGGGCAGUUAAGUCAGGGGUGAAAGCCCGAGGCUCAACCUCGGAAUUGCCUCUGAUACUGGCUGUCUAGAGUUCGAGAGAGGUGAGUGGAAUUCCUAGUGUAGAGGUGAAAUUCGUAGAUAUUAGGAAGAACACCGGUGGCGAAGGCGGCUCACUGGCUCGAUACUGACACUGAGGUGCGAAAGCGUGGGGAGCAAACAGGAUUAGAUACCCUCGUAGUCCCUGAGCGGGCUGGCAAGGCGCAU